This 492-nucleotide ribosomal RNA is filed under the name uncultured bacterium. Its description in RNAcentral is "partial 16S ribosomal RNA". It matches the Rfam family "Bacterial small subunit ribosomal RNA", at positions 29 to 507 of the family's 1533-position model. The record is from RNAcentral.
AGUGAACGCUGGCGGUAGGCCUAACACAUGCAAGUCGAACGGCAGCACAGUAAGAGCUUGCUCUUACGGGUUGCGAGUGGCGGACGGGUGAGGAAUACAUCGGAAUCUACUUUUUCGUGGGGGAUAACGUAGGGAAACUUACGCUAAUACCGCAUACGACCUUCGGGUGAAAGCAGGGGAUCUUCUGACCUUGCGCGAUUGAAUGAGCCGAUGUCGGAUUAGCUAGUUGGCGGGGUAAAGGCCCACCAAGGCGACGAUCCGUAGCUGGUCUGAGAGGAUGAUCAGCCACACUGGAACUGAGACACGGUCCAGACUCCUACGGGAGGCAGCAGUGGGGAAUAUUGGACAAUGGGCGCAAGCCUGAUCCAGCCAUACCGCGUGGGCGAAGAGGGCCUUCGGGUUGUAAAGCCCUUUUGUUGGGAAAGAAAAGCAGCAGGUUAAUACCCCGCUGUUCUGACGGUACCCAAAGAAUAAGCACCGGCUAACUUCGUG